AAGUAAUAUAUUUGUAAUUUUUUCAUUUAUUGUAAAAAGUAGAAUGCAUAUAUAUGAAAUAAAUGAAUGUAAAAUAUAUAAUUUUAUAUUUUGCAUUACAACUAUUUUUCUCUUUGAAAAGACUUUCUUAUACAACAAUACAACAAAAGUAUAUAUAUACAGAACACUAACCAGACCUGUUGUGUUAUAUGGAGCAUCACCAAAGUGGAAGAUCAGCUGCAAUACUUUUGAGAAUAAAAUAUUACAAAAAGUUUUUGGUCCUACUAAAGAUAUUAUGACAUGUGAAUGGAGAAAACAAAUAAAGAACUAUAUAUACUCUAUGGAAAUCCGCUAAUUAUAGAUGA
This 344-nucleotide long non-coding RNA is filed under the name Androctonus crassicauda. Lineage: Eukaryota; Metazoa; Arthropoda; Arachnida; Scorpiones; Buthidae. The record is from RNAcentral.